Molecule: long non-coding RNA, 677 nt
Organism: Passer domesticus (house sparrow)
Lineage: Eukaryota; Metazoa; Chordata; Aves; Passeriformes; Passeridae
Exons: 3
Source: RefSeq, a predicted model, not a curated record
ACCCCCAAUGCAAUAAAAAAAGGGCACAUUUGGUCCUAUUUUUAGAGAACCUUUUGGACAACCAAAGGUGAACUCGUAUCCAGUUCAUGCACAAGACAAAGCAAUGAUGUACGGUCUCCCACUCCGUGCUUUUCACUACUACAGUUUGGCAUGACACGCAUGACAUGAGUCAGCACAAGAAACAGCCCUGGAUGUAUAGUCCGUGCUUACAGUGUCUAGAGCACCAUACAAAUUCCUGCCAAAUCUGCUAUAGCAAUGCAUGCAGCACACAAAUGCUGACCUGGAUAUUUUUUCUUCAAACUUUAUCAUUUUGCCUUCAGGGUAUUUCAAUUCAAACACUGUUCAGAAAACCAUUACUCAGUACGCCACUCUCUGUGACGGGCCUCCCACAAAAGUCACAGCCAGCUGCAAUGAAGGAAGAGGAGACAACAGAAAAGGAAGCAAAGGGACAAUCUGUAAAGCAGAAAUAAGGGAAGGAGAAGACCCCAAAAUACUUCUCAGGGGCCUUGCUCCUCAGAGCUUUCUAUUCUAGGGUUCAUCUAAAUGGAGUCAGCAGACACCUCCCUGCACCCACAGCUUUGAUAAGCUCUCACAGUCUGGUAGCUUCAAUAAAGCAGAAACAAAGAGUGAGUUUGCCUUUAUUACGGCACUAUGUGGUACACCAUAAAUAACUGCUU